Molecule: ribosomal RNA, 1585 nt
Filed under: Gallicolumba luzonica
Lineage: Eukaryota; Metazoa; Chordata; Aves; Columbiformes; Columbidae
Description: 16S ribosomal RNA
Rfam family: Bacterial large subunit ribosomal RNA
Source: RNAcentral
UGCCCACUCUAGCCCAACCCCCUAUAGCCAAGAUACAAUAAAAAUACACUAAAUUUUUUAACUAAAACAUUCUUCAAACUUAGUAUAGGCGAUAGAAAAGACAAUCAGGCGCGAUAGAGACUCGUACCGCAAGGGAAGGAUGAAAUAAUAAUGAACAAGUAAAGCAAAAAAUAGCAAAGAUAAGCCCUUGUACCUUUUGCAUCAUGGUCUAGCAAGAACAACCAAGCAAAGCGAACUUAAGCUUGCCAUCCCGAAGCCCAAGCGAGCUACUUACAAGCAGCUAUCAUUGAGCAAACCCGUCUCUGUUGCAAAAGAGUGGGAUGACUUGUCAGUAGAGGUGAAAAGCCAACCGAGCUGGGUGAUAGCUGGUUACCUGUGAAAUGAAUCUAAGUUCUACCUUGACAUAUUUUUCCCCACGGACUUUAACUACCCUAAUGAGAAUAAUCAAGAGUAAUUUAAAGGGGGUACAGCCCCUUUAAAAAAGAACACAACCUCUCCUAGCGGAUAACUUCAAACCCUAGACAAUAAUUGUAGGCCUUAAAGCAGCCACCAAUAAAGAAUGCGUCAAAGCUCCCCCUCAAAAAAUACUGAAACCAUGCGACUCCCUUCUCAUCAACAGGUCAACCUAUGAUAAUAGGAGAAUUAAUGCUAAAAUGAGUAACCAGGACAUGCCCCUCUCAAGCGCAAACUUACUCCCCCAACAAUUAACAGAACCAAUACCCAAACUCCAACAAGACCACAUAUUAUUACCCACUGUUAACCCAACCCAGGAGCGCAUACUAGAAAGAUUAAAAUCCACAAAAGGAAUUAGGCAACCUCAAGGCCCGACUGUUUACCAAAAACAUAGCCUUCAGCCAAACAAGUAUUGAAGGUGAUGCCUGCCCAGUGACUACAUGUUCAACGGCCGCGGUAUCCUAACCGUGCAAAGGUAGCGCAAUCAAUUGUCCCAUAAAUCGAGACUUGUAUGAAUGGCUAAACGAGGUCUUAACUGUCUCUUGCGGAUAAUCAGUGAAAUUGAUCUCCCUGUGCAAAAGCAGGAAUACAUACAUAAGACGAGAAGACCCUGUGGAACUUAAAAAUCACCAGCCACCUUACAACAAAACCCAACCUAAUAGGCUCACCCACAAUAAAACACUGGCUCACAUUUUUCGGUUGGGGCGACCUUGGAGAAAAUAAAUCCUCCAAAAAUAAGACCUCCCUCUUAACCAAGAGCAACCCCUCGACGUACUAAUAGUAUCCAGACCCAAUACAAUUGAUUAAUGGACCAAGCUACCCCAGGGAUAACAGCGCAAUCUCACCCAAGAGUUCCUAUCGACGGUGAGGUUUACGACCUCGAUGUUGGAUCAGGACAUCCUAAUGGUGCAGUCGCUAUUAAGGGUUCGUUUGUUCAACGAUUAACAGUCCUACGUGAUCUGAGUUCAGACCGGAGCAAUCCAGGUCGGUUUCUAUCUAUGACGAACUUUUCCUAGUACGAAAGGACCGGAAAAGUGAGGCCAAUGCUUCAACGUACGCCCCCUCUCUAAGUAAUGACUUCAACUAAAUUACCAAGAGACCCUUCACGACACCCAACCCUAGAAAAGGGAUC